Molecule: ribosomal RNA, 253 nt
Filed under: uncultured bacterium
Lineage: Bacteria
Description: partial 16S ribosomal RNA
Rfam family: Bacterial small subunit ribosomal RNA
Source: RNAcentral
UACGGAGGGGGCUAGCGUUGUUCGGAAUUACUGGGUGUAAAGGGUUCGUAGGCGGUGUGGCAAGUCGGGAGUGAAAUCUCUGGGCUCAACUCAGAGACUGCUUCCGAAACUGCUGUGCUGGAGUGUGGGAGAGGCGCGUGGAAUUGCAGGUGUAGCGGUGAAAUGCGUAGAUAUCUGCAGGAACACCCGUGGCGAAGGCGGCGCGCUGGACCACUACUGACGCUGAGGAACGAAAGCUAGGGGAGCAAACAGG